Molecule: long non-coding RNA, 3674 nt
Filed under: Mus musculus (house mouse)
Lineage: Eukaryota; Metazoa; Chordata; Mammalia; Rodentia; Muridae
Description: long non-coding RNA chr15:10186391-10190065
Source: RNAcentral
GAUGACAUGCAUUCCUGAGAAUUGCUUCUCAGCAAUCACCGAAACCUUAAUUGCUUGUAUCUGUGUCUUUUAUUGCUUGUUUUAAGUCACAUGACUGAGAAAUCCAAACCACCCUUUCCUGUGGCGAUUUCAUUAUUCUACAUUUAAACUUGUGUGAAUAUAUAUAUAUUAGUUGUCAGGGUGUGGUUUUCAACAUAAUAUUAGAUUUUCUCCCUUUUUAAGCAGACUCCAACCUCAGAGUCAUCCCAAAUGACCUCAUGAUGAAAAGUUCUUAUAUAUAAUUUGAAAGCCAGAUGCCAGAAGGUUAAUAAUUAUGAGAUGGAAAUAUAAAGGUUGAGCUUGCCUGCUACCCAUGUAUUGAAUUUCUCAAUUGCUGUGUUGAUCUUUAGUUGCUUUCAUGUCAUUAUCAGGUCAAUUAGUUCCAUUCUUAGCAUACUCACACCCUUAUUAAAAGUACAAUGACAGUGAUAGUUUCCAAAGACUGUCAUGGACAGUUUUUACCAAGUUAAUUUGGCCAAGAACUAACUAGGUUGUAUAAUGAUGUUUCAGACCUGGGAAGGAAAAAAAAAAAAAUCACUGGACUUUGAGAGACUUCCUGCAACGGUCUAGGCAGGAAACAAAAAUGAAAAUUUGUUUGGAAAUAGUCAAUUUCAAAUCUCCCUCUAUAUAUCCAAGACUUUGGGAUGCAGAGAAUAAUCCUAAGACCAAUUAUCCACACUCUAGCUGAGUCUGAGACGCCAACCCUUCUCAAGAAGUUGUGUUAAUGUAAACAGGUAUCCAAUGGCUUUAGGUUAGACUUGACAGGAGAGUGCAAAGAUAAGAAUGGUGAGCUGUUCUCAUCACCCCUGGGGUUCUGAGCUUGCACGGUUAGUAGAAAACACAGACACUGCUAAAGAGGUCUCGGGGAGACCGAUGGACAGAGCUCUGUUGCUUACGGAGCAGUGGGAACAUCUGACAGUUUUGUCUCAUUCACUUUCCAUUUGGACAGGUUCUACAGGCCCAUGGUUAGAGCCAGAGAUGGAGUAAUGGUAUUUAGGGGGGCGGGGAAUUUAUACUCCAGUGAUAAAACAACUUAGAUCUGCAUUUAAAAAUCACAAAAGAAGGUAAUGCUAAGAAGAAAAAGAAGACGAAGUACAGGAACUAGAGGCUUAGGAGUUUCACUUGAAACAGGUCUACAUGAGUUGCCCUCUCUUAGGAUAUGUAUUCUAAUUAUCAGACCAAGGCCAAGAAGAAAACCAUAUAAAUAUCUGAGAGAAAAAUGACUCCAGGAAGAGGGAAUAUCAAGAGUCUGGCGAGUAUGAGCAAAAGAAAGGAGGCUAACGUGAGUGGACUCCACGGGCUGAGACAGGUGUAGGAAGAGGAACAGGGUCUGAGGUCAUGGGGCAGGCUUAGGAUUAUUAAUUGCUCUGAAGGGAUCACUGGGAGAUUUCCAGGCAGAGGGAGAAUGGGAUUUAAAAUAAAGUUUUAACAUCAUUGUGGUGAUGGACUGUGAACCAGAUGCAAAAGGACCAUAGACUGUUGAUAUACAAGCCACUGAGAGAAUAGGUUGGCUUCAGUGGCAGUGGUAGAGAAGAGGGGUUGUCAGAUUGACUGUACAGUUUUGGAAGUUGGAAUAGCAUAACUUCCAAAUGGCCAGGCUGUCUUAACAAACCUAACUCUGUCUCAUAUAGCUGUUCCCACCCUAGCCCAACUAGGACCAUUGGGAUUGCACUAGAUCCAGUAGCAUGGAGUAUUACUUAGCAACACUAGUAAUUUGGGGCUUCUCUUCUUCAACCACAAAAAACUAAAUUCCAUCCAAGGAGAAGUCUCUGUUUGCUGCUUGUUACCUUCUGACUGUCAAAAUUCUAUCCUGUGUCAAGACCAAUCUCAUAGGGUUUGUGGUUUUGAUUAUGGUGUUUCUGGUAUGUGCUGGAGUGGUCACAUUCAGAUAGUUUUUUCUGAGUAUUUUGACAGUGGUUGUAUUUACCAACUCCUCGACUAUGCAGUUGGUCAGUGCCUCCAUAUAAAUGCUAACAUUGAGAUGGCAAGUGCUUAAGGAGCCCUUUCUAUCUGAAUGUUCUUUGCAUGCCAUGUUUUAAUUAAUUCAGUCAUCUUAUUCAUUCUUAUGAUAAUUGGGUAUUCUUGAUGUGGUCUUACAGAUGAGGAAAUGAGAUGUAGUAAAAGACAUUUAGUCAUUUGCCCAAGUUCCCAUAGCUGCCAAGUGACAAAGCUAGGCUUGGUACUGAACCUGAUUAUAAAGCUCUGGGUCUCAGCCACUAUGCUGUGCCCCUUGCACUCGGUUCUCCUUCAUUUUUUCCUUCGCAUGUGAAGCUGUCACCAAAGCACGACUUCUUCCUUCAGGAUGCAUUCCACCUGGCAGGGCUUGAAGAUAUUGGACAGGACGGCUCCUCUCCAAGACGACUCCCAUCUAACACACCUACCAUCCACCCAGACAGAAGCACACUCCUUCACCUAGGGCUGGACACAGUUGCCAACACCAAGGGCCUCUUGCUACAUACUCUUCUUGUUCUCAAGUUCCUCCUUCCCAUCCCUCAUAGCUCCUGCGUUGUGCCCACCUUCCACCUCAGGCAGGUUUCCUUGGUCUGAAAAGGCAAAAAUUACCUAUAAGCCAUGCAAAGUGGUCUAGUUACUCCCUAGGGCUCAAGAAACUUAAAAACAACAACAAUAACAACAAAAGUCAUUAAUUUUGUGGUCAUCACAAUAUUUGUUUUUAAAAUAGUGGAGGUUUUCCUCCAGAGUUUCAUUAGGAGACAUAAAGCAAGCCCAAGGACCAUGAUGGUUUCCCUCUGUUUUCUUAACCUUCCCCUCUACAUUUGCUGCUGGUGAAUUCUUCUCUCAGAGGACCUGACUUCCCAAUAAACGGCAUGAAAGCAGCAGACCUUUCCCUCCUCCUGGUAAUGAUAAUAAGAAUGGAUUUGUAGAACUGAGAGUUAUACAAAAAAAUCGAUUAAGAUCUCCUUAGUCUACAUAAUAAACUCUUCAGCAGUGACUGCAAGGUAGUAACUGUGAUGACUCAUGAUGCUGUAAGUAAACUCGAUAAAUAUUUCAAUUAAAAAGUGAUAACAAUCUUUUGUCCUGCUAUAACCACCAUAGGGUAAUUUUUUAUAGAGACUGAUAGGCAUUACUGGGAGUGUGAUCGUUAAUCAAAUCAUUCAUUUGUUUGUUUGAUUUUUCAAUAAAAGUGUUAUUAAAAUGUCAUAUAACACAUAUCACAUAUUUCUCCUAAUUUAAUUAACUCCCAGAUUCAAAACUGCAAAAGAAAAGGGAAAGUAUGUUUUUCAUUAAGUUUUGAAGGUUUCCCUGGCAGAAUCAAUUAAUUAAAUGUUAAAAACCAUUUCAAAUAUUUGAAAAUUCUCCAAAAUACUACAAAAGCCUAAUUUAAAAACAAAUUCAACUUAAAGUCAUGAAGUUCUUUCUUUAUUGGAACACUGUAUAUCAAGUGUAGCUAUGCCCUCAGGUAACACCAAGUCAUUCAGGGAUCAGAGCAACAUGACAGCUAUGAGAGGUUCACAGAAUUCAUUGCAUCGCCUUGCUCAGCAUUUGACAGGAUGUGUCUGGUGUUUCUUUUAGUAACUUCUGAUUUGACCUUCCAGAUAACUUCCUAGACAUCAUACCAGUGUUCUUACCUGUGACUUUUAAAUUUUUAGUUUUCUCCUGUCUUAAACUAAUGGGGC